RNAcentral lists this ribosomal RNA (1432 nucleotides) under uncultured organism. RNAcentral describes it as "16S ribosomal RNA". It matches the Rfam family "Bacterial small subunit ribosomal RNA". The record is from RNAcentral.
GAUGAACGCUAGCUACAGGCUUAACACAUGCAAGUCGAGGGGCAGCAUGGUCUUAGCUUGCUAAGGCCGAUGGCGACCGGCGCACGGGUGAGUAACACGUAUCCAACCUGCCGUCUACUCUUGGACAGCCUUCUGAAAGGAAGAUUAAUACAAGAUGGCAUCAUGAGUCCGCAUGUUCACAUGAUUAAAGGUAUUCCGGUAGACGAUGGGGAUGCGUUCCAUUAGAUAGUAGGCGGGGUAACGGCCCACCUAGUCUUCGAUGGAUAGGGGUUCUGAGAGGAAGGUCCCCCACAUUGGAACUGAGACACGGUCCAAACUCCUACGGGAGGCAGCAGUGAGGAAUAUUGGUCAAUGGGCGAGAGCCUGAACCAGCCAAGUAGCGUGAAGGAUGACUGCCCUAUGGGUUGUAAACUUCUUUUAUAAAGGAAUAAAGUCGGGUAUGGAUACCCGUUUGCAUGUACUUUAUGAAUAAGGAUCGGCUAACUCCGUGCCAGCAGCCGCGGUAAUACGGAGGAUCCGAGCGUUAUCCGGAUUUAUUGGGUUUAAAGGGAGCGUAGAUGGAUGUUUAAGUCAGUUGUGAAAGUUUGCGGCCCAACCGUAAAAUUGCAGUUGAUACUGGAUAUCUUGAGUGCAGUUGAGGCAGGCGGAAUUCGUGGUGUAGCGGUGAAAUGCUUAGAUAUCACGAAGAACUCCGAUUGCGAAGGCAGCCUGCUAAGCUGCAACUGACAUUGAGGCUCGAAAGUGUGGGUAUCAAACAGGAUUAGAUACCCUGGUAGUCCACACGGUAAACGAUGAAUACUCGCUGUUUGCGAUAUACAGCAAGCGGCCAAGCGAAAGCGUUAAGUAUUCCACCUGGGGAGUACGCCGGCAACGGUGAAACUCAAAGGAAUUGACGGGGGCCCGCACAAGCGGAGGAACAUGUGGUUUAAUUCGAUGAUACGCGAGGAACCUUACCCGGGCUUAAAUUGCAGAUGAAUUACGGUGAAAGCCGUAAGCCGCAAGGCAUCUGUGAAGGUGCUGCAUGGUUGUCGUCAGCUCGUGCCGUGAGGUGUCGGCUUAAGUGCCAUAACGAGCGCAACCCUUGUUGUCAGUUACUAACAGGUUCCGCUGAGGACUCUGACAAGACUGCCAUCGUAAGAUGUGAGGAAGGUGGGGAUGACGUCAAAUCAGCACGGCCCUUACGUCCGGGGCUACACACGUGUUACAAUGGGGGGUACAGAGGGCCGCUACCACGCGAGUGGAUGCCAAUCCCCAAAACCUCUCUCAGUUCGGACUGGAGUCUGCAACCCGACUCCACGAAGCUGGAUUCGCUAGUAAUCGCGCAUCAGCCACGGCGCGGUGAAUACGUUCCCGGGCCUUGUACACACCGCCCGUCAAGCCAUGGGAGCCGGGGGUACCUGAAGUGCGUAACCGCGAGGAGCGCCCUAGGGUA